Long non-coding RNA from Diorhabda sublineata, 709 nucleotides. RefSeq lists it as uncharacterized. NCBI's taxonomy places the organism in Eukaryota, Metazoa, Arthropoda, Insecta, Coleoptera, Chrysomelidae. The record is from RefSeq and is a predicted model, not a curated record. The transcript is spliced from 2 exons.
AGGGUGGUCGAAAACGACUGUCUUUUAAUAAAUAUCUAUGUACCGAGCUUACUAAAAAUAGAUGCUAUUUUUAAAUUAAAAACACGAUGCAUUUCUCGUUCUAACGCUUGCCAAAGACACGAAGAAAGCGGAAAUUUUGCACGAUAUUAUAUUCUAAAUAUUUAUACAGUAGUACACAAAUGAAACAAACACAUUCGAAGUUAGAAAAAAAAAAGAAGUAAUGGAAAAUACUUACUAUAAGAAAUAUAAAAGAAAAAACUAUCUUUGAUAAUUAUCUAGUACCAAAAAUUAUUUUAGAUUCUCGUAAUGGAAACAUUAAAAGCUGAAAUUCCUAAUACCGUACAGUAAAAUUUAUAAAUGAGAUAAAAUAUAUUGAUAAAUCUAGGUGAGUACUUCAAAUGUAACAAGCCAAUAUUAAAGAAUCACACUACCAUCAAAGUGGCAUAACUUCAUGAGAAAUGGUAAUUAAUGAAAUAUAUAUAAGUAUUAAUCACGAAAUUUAUUUAAAACAUACAGUAAAAUAUAAAUUAGCUUUGGUUUUAAAUUUUUUUCCCUAUUAUAAAUACACUCCUAUAAUUCAAUAUAAAUUUAUAAAAAAAUGUAAUAUCACUUUAAAUUGCUUAAUUGUAAUUUAUCGGGAAUGAAUUUAGUACGAAAAAUAAAUGUUACAAUUAAUAAUCUAUAAUUAAAUAAUGAAAAUAAUGAUAAA